AGUAUUUUUAAUGAGAUAAAUCACUUAGGAAUCUUAGCUUCCCUCCCCUUAAAUUUUUCUUGAAUCUUAUAAGAAGUUUAAAACUAGUAGAUUAAUAUUGGAAACAAGUAUAAAACCCCUCGGUAGAAAUGGAGACUAAUAGCAUGCUAUCUGGUUCUUUGUAGAAAUCAUUAAAAUGUAGAUGUAGAUUUGUGUCCUGAUUUUAUUUAUUUUAGUUUAAGCUAUGGCAUCAUUGACAGCCUUAGGUGUGCCAGCCAUUAUGGCCAAAGUUUCUUUACCAAGUGAUGCUGCAUGGAAUAGCUAAUUGUCGAACUUCAGCAGAAGUUGGAU
This 330-nucleotide long non-coding RNA is filed under the name Bos taurus (domestic cattle). RNAcentral's name for it is "long non-coding RNA NONBTAT013506". The record is from RNAcentral. Lineage: Eukaryota; Metazoa; Chordata; Mammalia; Artiodactyla; Bovidae.